AACGAACGCUGGCGGCAUGCCUAACACAUGCAAGUCGAACGAGACCUUCGGGUCUAGUUGCGCACGGGUGCGUAACGCGUGGGAACCUGCCCUUAGGUUCGGAAUAACUCCCCGAAAGGGGUGCUAAUACCGGAUAAUGUCUUCGGACCAAAGAUUUAUCGCCUUUGGAUGGGCCCGCGUUGGAUUAGCUAGUUGGUAGGGUAAAAGCCUACCAAGGCGACGAUCCAUAGCUGGUCUGAGAGGAUGAUCAGCCACACUGGGACUGAGACACGGCCCAGACUCCUACGGGAGGCAGAAGUGGGGAAUAUUGGACAAUGGGCGAAAGCCUGAUCCAGCAAUGCCGCGUGAGUGAUGAAGGCCUUAGGGUUGUAAAGCUCUUUUACCCGGGAUGAUAAUGACAGUACCGGGAGAAUAAGCUCCGGCUAACUCCGUG
Molecule: ribosomal RNA, 433 nt
Filed under: uncultured bacterium
Lineage: Bacteria
Description: partial 16S ribosomal RNA
Rfam family: Bacterial small subunit ribosomal RNA
Source: RNAcentral